AGGGGCCAGUCAUGGUCCAUGCCAUGAUAGACUCAGGAGCUACAAACAAUUUCAUUGAUAGAGAGUAUGCCGACUCUCUGGGAUUACAAUACCAUGACUUCAAGAAUGCCCGUGUGGUGCAAGCCAUCGAUGGCCGCCCCCUCAAGACGGGUCCCGUAAGCCAGUGGUCGGAACCCACCAGAAUGUGGAUAAGGGAACAUAUGGAAGAGAUUUCCUUCUUUGUUACCGAGGUUCCCCAUUUCCCUGUAAUUUUGGGAAUUCCAUGGCUGACACUUCACGACCCAAGCAUCUCCUGGUCCAACAGAGAACUGCAGUUUGCUUCAAAAUAUUGCCAAAACCAUUGCCUUGUAGCCAAGGUCUGCCAUGCCACAGACACUGAACCCAUUAUCACCUUGCCCAAGAAGUACUCAGAAUAUUGGGAUGUAUUCAAUGAAAAAGAAGCCGAGAGAUUACCCCCACAUAGACCUUAUGACUGUGCCAUUGACUUGGUGGAGGGGGCCCCGAUCCCGCGAGGACAUCUCUACUCCCUGACUGAACCGGAGCAAGAAGCUCUCAGGGAGUUCAUAGAGUCAAACCUUCGCAAGGGAUUCAUCAGACCCUCUCAAUCCCCAGCCGCUUCCCCAGUGAUGUUUGUGAAAAAGAAAUCAGGGGACUUACGCUUGGUGGUGGACUAUAGAGCAUUGAACAAUAUCACUAAGCGGAACAGCUAUCCCCUGCCCUUGAUCUCGGACCUACUAGACCGACUUCGGGGAGCCAAGGUCUACACCAAGCUGGAUCUUCGGGGGGCUUAUAAUCUAGUUCGCAUCAGAGAAGGGGACGAGUGGAAGACCGCCUUCCAGACUAAAUUCGGAUUAUUCGAGUCCCGAGUUAUGAAUUAUGGAUUAUGUGGAGCUCCCGCAACGUUCCAGCAUUUUGUCAAUGACAUCUUUCAGGAUUAUCUAGAUCGGUUCUUGAUCAUCUACCUGGACGAUUUUUUGGUGUUUUCUAGAUCACAAUCAGAGCAUGAGAACCACGUCAGAAUGGUGUUACAACGAUUGCGGGAUCAUGGACUUUAUGCCAAGCUGGAAAAAUGCGCUUUUGAUCUACAAGAGGUAGAUUUCCUGGGGUACCGCGUCUCACCACUAGGGCUCUCCAUGGACCCGGCUAAGGUUUCAGCAGUAUUGGAAUGGCGGGCGCCAACCAACAAGAAAGAGGUGCAACGAUUCUUGGGGUUCGCGAACUACUACCGCAAGUUCAUUCCAGACUUUGCCCGCUGGUCUGACCCAAUCACCAGCUGCAUCCGUGGGAAACAGCCUUUCCGCUGGACAGAUCAAGCAGAGAAAGGGUUCCAGCAACUAAAGAAAUUAUUCACGUCCCAGCCAAUCCUUCAGCAUCCAGAUCCUGAAACCCCUUUUGUUGUGCAGGCGGACGCCUCCGAUGUGGCAAUUGGGGCUGUACUCCUACAACCAGUGGGAGACCAUCUUCAUCCUUGUGCCUUUUAUUCCCGUCAAUUGACCGCGCCAGAGAAAAAUUACACCAUUUGGGAAAAGGAACUAUUGGCCAUAAAGGCAGCCUUUGAAACUUGGAGACAUUGGCUAGAAGGGGCCAAAUUUCCCAUUGAAGUCCAUACUGAUCAUCGAAAUCUAGAGCAUCUAAGAACUGCCCGCAAGCUAAAUCAAAGGCAACAACGCUGGGCUCUAUUCUUUGAACGUUUUAACUUUCAAAUUCAUUAUGUAACCCCAGCCCAGACCAAGCAAGCAGAUGCUCUGUCACGGAAACCGGAAUAUGCUGCAGGGCGCAAGGAGACCUUUGAGUCCCAGCUGCUACAACCCGAGAACUUUGCCACGCUCACAGUGGGAAACACCAAAUCCACUCCCAUUGAAUCAACUUCCCCUACUCCAGGACCCCUUUGUGCUCAGGAAAUCAGGGCUAGUCAGCAAGCAGACGCCUGGGCACAGGACCAACUUCGCCAAGGACUACGUUUUCCCUUUUCGCUUAAGGAUGGGCUACUUUGCUAUAGAAAUCAUGUUUACAUCCCCCCAGGACCGGGCAGGGAAAAAACACUUCGUCUGUGUCAUGACUGCAAGCCAGCAGGGCAUUUCGGGCUAUUUAAAACCAUGCAUUUGAUCCUAAGAGAUUUCUGGUGGCCCAAGAUCCGCAAGGAUGUGGAAAAAUAUGUCAACACCUGCCCAGUAUGCCAGCGCUCCAAGACAAGAAGAGAAAAGCCCUCAGGGCUUCUGCAUCCCCUCCCUACCCCAUCCCGCCCAUGGGAAAUAAUCUCUGCGGAUUUUAUCACUGAUCUACCACCGUCCUGUGGAUUCACCACGAUCCUAGUGGUGGUGGACCUUUUCACCAAGUUAGCCCAUUUCAUUCCCUGCGAUGGCCUUCCCACGGCCAAAGAAACUGCAGAUCUAUUCCUCCAACAUGUUUUCAGAUUGCAUGGAUUGCCCAAGAGUUUGGUCACAGACCGUGGGUCCCAAUUCACUUCUCGUUUCUGGAAAGCACUACAAAAACUAUUGGGCAUAGACUCUCGUUUAUCUUCGGCUCAUCAUCCCCAAACAGAUGGGCAAACUGAGCGCACCAAUGCCACUUUAGAACAAUACCUUCGCUGUUAUGUAAACUACCAGCAAGACAAUUGGGCUUCCCUGUUAUCGCUGUCAGAGUUUGCCUACAACAAUGGGGUCCAGGCUUCUACUAAAGAAACGCCGUUCUUUGCAAACUAUGGCUUCCAUCCACGUUUCUUUCCCCCUGUCAUUGAAACCUCAGAAGUUCCCGCAGCAGAGGACUGGCUGCAGGAACUCACAGCGGUGCAACAACUCUUGCUCCAGCAAUUAAACCAAGCCAAGGAGGACUAUAAACGUCACGCGGACAAACAUCGCCAGCCGGGCCCCGAAAUCAAGGUAGGAGACCGGGUUCUUCUGUCCACUCGCUUUUUGCCCUCCCAUCGCCCUUGCCGGAAGUUAGAUGCCCGUUUCAUUGGCCCCUAUCCAGUGGUGGCGCAACUUAACCCCGUGACUUUCAAACUCCAACUUCCGCGUUCAAUGCGCAUUCAUCCAGUGUUCCACCGCUCCCUGCUCCUUCCGGCGGAUGGUGUGCGCCCUGAUACAGACCGACCGGCCCCCCCUCCUGUUUUGAUGAAUGGGGAGGAGGAGUUCGAGGUUGAGGACAUUUUGGAUUCUCGCUUUCACCGCCGCCGCCUACAAUAUCUCAUUGACUGGGUGGGUUUUGGCCCCGAGGAACGUUCUUGGGAAGACGCUUCCACAGUCCAUGCUCCUGAUCUAACCCGCCGCUUCCAUCAGACCUAUCCCGCCAAGCCGCGGCCUCGCGCCUCGGGGAGAGAGUCCCGGUUUGAGAGGGGGCUUGAGGAGGGGGAUAGUGUGAUGAGUCAUGGGCCAUGUAGUCCCGUUCAUGGCACUGUAGUCCCAGAUGAAGAGGAGAACUUGGGUUUUUCACCGUCUCAGUCAGAAUUGGAACCUUCCCAGCCAGAUUUGGGAACCUUGCACCUGCAAGAGAUUUGUCUUCCAGAAAUCUGUCAAACAAGCCCUGAGUCUAAAUCUCCUGUGUUUUCUCGCCACGAGUUUUGUAAACAUCAGAGAGGAGUUCAAGCGGCCUCUCGUAGGAGUGCUAGGAUAGCUGCUAAGAAUUCAGCUGAUUAAGCCUGCUUUCCAUGGGAAACCUUAAGGAGUCAUGCAUCUGGACUCUGAGAUUAGCUUUCGUUUCUGGUUCCCCAGAGAACUGCUCUUUGGUGGGAAAACUAGACCCUAUUUAGGUGUUUUACCCACAAAGAGAUCUUGCGGAGUCAAUUCGUCAGCUACUGGAGUAAGUUGUGUGUGGACAGCGCGCUCCGUUUCCAAGCCUCGUUCCUGUUUCAAGCCUUGUCCCUGAUUCCAAGCCUUCGCUCCUGUUUCCAGCCUUGUUUACCUCCGCGGACCUCGCCUUGUUUUCCAGGGCUCAGCCUUGCUUUCUUUUCCCGGAUUUUGCCAAGUAAUUCCACGGAUCUUGUUCUUGCUCCUCGUUACCUUGUUGCCUUGAAUCAAGCCUUGUGUUCCAAGUAUCAAGUUAUUUCCUAGCCUUGCUCAAGUUCAUGGACUAAAGGACCUUGUCAUCUCCCCUCACUUGCUUGGCAAGUGAGUGUUUCGGUUAUUGGAUUACAACUUUGGACCUUAAUAUUUCAUAUUGGACAUUGUUUCUUUGGACUAAUUUUGACCUUUCCUGAAAGGUCUACUUCUGGACUACUUCAUACACUUGCUUUUAUUAACUUUAUAUAUUUCCUUAAUAAAGAUAUUAGAUAGAUUCUGGCCUCUGUGUAUGGUUAUUGGUGCUCUGUAGCCUGGGUCGUGACACUAUGGCCAUUAUCGAUCCAUUUGAACUGUAGGUGAAAGUGGCAUACAGGUGGAUAGAUUCAUUUCGAAAAGCAUGGCUGGCUGCCCUGAGUCUGCUAGAGCUGAUCAGGAACAUUGGUAAUGGAGGUCCCAUUCAUUAGGUCCUUAUAAAUUGAAGCCAACCUGAUGGCAACUUUCAAUAAAGCAGGUGGAUGGAGAUCAGGAUCAAGUGAUGGUGAACCCUUUAUUGAGGUAUAUGUCUUGGCAGCUUGCCACAAUGAGAAACCAGCCCUGACCAGUAUAAUAAGAGAAACAACUUUGUUUUCAUGUAGGUUGGGCUGGUCUUUUUUGAAAUGUAGAAAUGUGAGGAGCAGCAAAUAAUGCCAUUGUGAUUCUCAUCAGAAAUUCUUUGAUUUAAGCCAGAAAUGGUAGCGUUCUUCAUAGAAGCCGCAGAAUAGUUUUCUUGCUGUGUGUGUUGACACAGUCUGCUUCAAUCCAAAAAUAAUGAUUUGCUGGGCCAAAGCCCUGCAUGCAUUUCCCUCCCAUACCUCUGGAGAUGCACCUUUGUGAUCUGGUAGACUUUCAAUUUGUGAGAGGAGCCAAUUUAGUGUAGUGUUUUGAGUGGUGGACUUGGACUCUGGGAGUAGGGUUUGAAUCUUUUUGAUCAUGGAAGCCUGCAGGGUGAGCUUGGGCAGCCUCAGAGGAGGGCAAUUGCAAACCUCCUCUUAAGAAAUCUAGGAUAGGGUUACCAUGAGUUGGAAUUGAUGUGAGGGCGCACAAAAACAGCAAGAGUUUCAGGGUUGACAUCUGAAGUAGCUGAACCUCCUAUUGGUAAUCAUGUGAUUUUUCAUUCUUCAGACUAGCCGAGGAGGGGGAUGCAGAGGACCUGAUCUUUGAAUCAAUUAAUGGGGAUAGGAAUGUUACCUUGGUUUUGAAAUAGUAUGUUUGGAAGCCAUUACAGCUUAAACACUCCAAACAAAACAGCUUGGCAUUUAGUUUACAUUUAAAAACUUUUUGCGCAUAACUGAAUCCGUGUUCAGUGACCUUGUGUAAUAAGCAGGCCUACUGUAGACAAAUUCCUGACAGGUAUGAUUACUAGUCCUGAUGACUAUUUGCUACCUCCAAGUGCAGAGAUGAUAAUGGUUCUGUAUGCCAGUUGCUGCGAGAAAAAAGCAGGGAAUUCUCUCUUCCCCACUCACUUUUUUGUGUGUUUCCAGGUGGCAUCUGGUUUAGCAUUGUGGGAACUGGAUGCUGGACUGAGUGGACCUCUGCUUUUUGCUCUGCUCCCAGGGCUGCUGUAAUGUGUUUAUGCCAUGGUGACCACUGACUUUGUAAAUCUGGCUAACAGGGUCAUACUGACUUUCAUCUUCUGCCUGAAGGCAGCAUGAUAGAUGAAUCAGCCCUUUUGUGUUUUGCUGCAGAAUCUGGAGACUUCAUGCCAAUUGCUAUAAAUGGGAAUCUCUACCUAGAUCAAUACAACUGGUCAGGGUGACCGGUUUCUUAUAACUUACUGUCCUUGUUGCAAUAUCAGGACUCAAAAUCUGCAGAGGGGAGGAGAGGAACGGCAGCCUGCACCUGUCAGCAAAGGUGCUGAAAAUUGGAAGAACCAUGACUAUUUCUGUUCAAUGUGGGCUCUGUUCAUCCUGUUUAUUAUACAUCUUUCUACCUUAACAAAAUUAUGGCAGCAUAGGUUGGCUUUGUCUGCUGGACAGUUAUAUAAUUGUUUCUCCAGUAUUGUGAUAGCUUAAGUGAAAAGAGAGACCUGUCCUAUUAACCUAGUUAAAAGGCUAACAGGAGGUGGCUCCUCUGAACUUCGUCCCAUUCUGAGAAUGUUACAGCGAAUAUUUUUGAGGUGAUUGGUCAUAGGGUCUCUGCUCUGUACCACAUUUCUUGAGAGUGCUGGUAAAUAUUGUUGUCUUCUAGGUGUGUCUUUGCUAAGUAGAGGCCAUGGCCUUAUCUAUAAAUGACCAUCUUUACUUCUACUUUGUGCAUUUUGUUCAUCUCCUUUCUGGCGUUGCAGAAUUCAUGAAUCACAGUAGUUAAAGGUCUUGCUCUUUACAAUUCCGAUCAGCUGUAUGAAUGCAAUAGCAAAAUCCACAAUAAACACCCGCUUUUGAAAUGAAUACAUCUGACUUUUAUUUUUUAGAGGAAAGAAUUACAUUAAAAUAUACAGACCUGCACUAGGGAAUUCCUAAUGGCUUUCUGUAUUUGUUUAGUUUAGACUCCACUCAUGAUUAAGAAUGAUGUCAGCAGGAUACAGCUUGGUCUGUCUGUCAUCAGAACGGUAGAGUGCAUUGUGUCAGGCCCACUGAUUUGUGCUUUCACUCAUGGACCACACAGCUACUCCUCAGUUUUUUGUUUGUUUUUGUUUUAAUUGUGUCAGGCAAAAUCUCCACAUUUGUUGGAGACUUCAGGAGACACUCACUUGUGCCUUAUUAGAAAAGCAAAGUCUAAAUGCACAAGAAAGUAACUUGGGAGGGGAGAACAUCAAUUUAUAUCUGAAUUUAUUUGAAGCAUUCGUUUUUGCCAUGGAAAGGACAUUUCUUAUUUUGUUGUCUUGCAAGUAACUUUUUACCCUUUUCUGCAGUGAUAUCUUUGACAUCAUCUCCUGACCAGUUGCCAUGAAAUUGAGAUUGGGAAGAAUAUUAAGAGUGUAACUAGUUCAUGGGGACAGGGAAGAUCACAUUAGAUUUGAAGGAGGGUGGGAAUUGGACAGCCACUGGGCUAUAUGUGGCCUCUUGGGACUGUUACAAAAUUCUUGGACUCCUGGAGGCCAUGGCGCAUUUCCUAAACCUUUUGCUGAAAAAAAACCCCCUACCUUUAACGAGUUAAAAAUCCCUUGAGAGCAUAAUAAUCAAUCUUUUUCAGUCACUUUAUUUCCUGCCUUUUACCCAAACAAGCGGCUUAAGGCAGUGAAAACAAAACAAAGCAACAAACAAAAGUUCUUUUGCGAGAUUCUCUACUUGGAAAACAACCAUCCCACUACUCCAGUGGCCCAGAAAGUGACCAAAGGUAACAUGUCAAAAUUGGUUAUUACAAUGCCCCCUCUUCUCCUCUAAAUAAUAAUAAUAAUAAUAAUAAUAAUAAUAAUAAUAAUAAUAAUAAUAAUAAUUUAUUUAUAUUCCGCCCUAUCUCCUCGAGGGGACUGAAGUUCCAGAGAGACCCAAAAAUGCUACAGCUCCCAUCCUUUUGAGACAACAGUACAUCCCAUGGAUCUCAUGCAAAAAGCAACAUUAGAUACGUUAGUAAAGACUUCUUUUUUAUUAUGACACACAAGAUAAUAAUGGUCCUAGAAGCUCUUCACUAGCGAGAUCUCAAGAGCUGAAGUCCUUCACAAAUUUGGCUUCAAAGCAGCAAUAGUGCAAUAAUGUAGUUUUGUACAUCUUUUGCAGCUAUAGUCAGACAAGAAGUGCCUAGUUAUUUUCACAUGGAAUGAUGUGAAGUGUGUGUGGGGGGUUGGGGUGGGUAGGAGGGAGCCCAGUGUGGUGCCAUGGUUGAAGAAGGGCUCCAGGAAACCAGGGUUCAAAUUCUGGCUUGGAAACCCUCUGGGUGAUCUUGGCCAAGUCACGUUCGCUCAGCUUAACAAAAGGGUAAUGACAGACGUCCUCUAAAAAAUUUUUGCUUAGGAGCUCCAAGUUUGCCAUUGGGAUGCCAGAAGUUGGAAAUGACUUAAAGAUGUAUAAAAGUUUGAAAGGAGUCCAUUUCUAUCUUAUUCUUGAGUUGUAUUUGAAUUGCAAGUUGAAUACAGGGUAGAUUUGUAAUUGAUCUUCACAAUCUAUGCAGCCCAUGGAUGCAAUUAUCUGUCAGGAUCACUUGCUUUCUGGGUCAUCUUUAAAUCAACUGAGCUUGGGCAGAACUUAGAAAAGUUUUUGAAGCUGGUCAUGUUAAGAGAAUUUUGGGGUUUUAGUCCCAAAAAUAACUUUCCUAAUCUCUGACCAAGACAAGGUGGAACGUAUGUUUUGAGGAGUAAUAUUUUCUCCAAAAGUUUAUAAUCCUACUAUGUUGCAAUUUAUUCAAGUCAAAAGAGUCUUGGACUUCACUCAUGUGAUCCCUGAAUUUUACAUUUGUGUUUCAUACUGGUUGAGAAACUUGGAGUGAUACUGCCUGGUACCUCUGGAAAUGUAUGCUCAAAAAAUAAAAUGUAUUGGCCCAAGCCUGUCAUUGUGUGAAUGAGCAUUUGUUAAUAUGACCAAGAUUUUAUCCCUCCCAACUUGAUAACCCCACAUUACCUCCAAAAUCACUGGAGCGGCUUUUGAAACUUCAGUGAGGGUGUCCCUUGAAUGAUUACCCACCUCCGUUUUCUACUGAUAGAAACACAUCAAUCAACAAAAUUGACUCCUUUGGAUUGUGUCUAUGUGUGUGUUGUACAUAUUCACAGUUUGUUAACAAAUAUGCAGAAGUGAUGAUGGCAUAAGGAAAAAAGCACUGUAGAUGUUUGUAGUUACAUUUGACAUCCAAGAUUUGAUCUAAAUGCUCAGACACCCAACCCUGAAAUGCCAUGUUGUGAGCCCAGGUACCUGUUAACUGGCUGGUACAUCAGGACCUCACUCCUUGAGUAAAUUUGUUUAGACUUGGGAUUUAUAUUAGCUAAGGAUUAUUCGGCUUAUUUCAAAACAUUUGAGUAGGAUAUCAUCCAAGUGAGCAAACUCAUCUUCGUAGGACCUGCAAAUUUGGUGACAUCUCUUAAUAUUCAUACUAAACAUUAAUGAAUUCAAAAUAAUGAAAUAAUGUGGAUAUAUGUUGGCUGGAGGCAGGAUAGUUUGUUUUAAAUCAAAUCAAUUUGAAUCAGUGAUUUUUAAAUCAAGAAAAGAGCUCUGGAGGCCCAGUGAUUUAAAUCAAGUUUCCAAUUGAUGCUAGUUACUGUCUUUCCUGACCAGUGGUGCAAAUAUGACUUUGAAAUCUUGUUUGUCUACAUCUAAAGGGAAAGCGAAUUACAGUGUAUGGGUCCUUACAUUUCCUUGUCACACUGUGCCUUAUCGGCUGGAAUCCUGCUAGUGACAUAAGGCAGGUGUUAGUCCACCUUUUGCAUGGGCACCCUUGUAUACUCAUUUAGAAGGCUAGAAUUUUGUCAAAAAUUUAUUCCCAAAACCUGGAUUGAGGUAUCCAUGGGUCAGUACCAUAAUUCUUACCAAAAAAAGGAAAUAUUACUUUCUCUGAAAAGGGUGGGGAACAGUGAAAACCUGGUUUAUCCCAGGAAGCCCAAAAGAAGCACUACACCCCUCUCAUCUCUCCACCAAUGGUACUGGUUUAGGCCUUUUUGAAUACCUGGAUGAAGAAAUGACAUUGGGGUGCGGGGCGGGGGGGGGGGGGAAAUGAACCCCUAAGGUGGCAUUGGUGCUUUCCCACUCCACAGAAUAACUCUUGACCAAUCCAUGGGCUAUAUCAAAAUUCAUAAUUUUGGCUGUACAACGUAUCAUCAAUGUAUACAUUAAUAUAUACUGUGUCUUGUUUCUUGGUAAUAGAGAGGUUGACGUUCUGCUUCAUCCUUUGCAACAACCAGUAACUCUUUAUUUAGCAUCUGCUCUGUGGCCAUUCCAUUGCUGUUGGAGAGAACAGAGGUGUGAUAUUGUUGUUGCAGCAUUUAACUAUAUCCUUGUACAUGGAUGCAGAAUGAUGACAUCAUCUGCGAAGAUCUUUAGAGGUCUGUAGCAGAUCUCAGGGGAUGAUGUAGUCAUUCUAAAUCUGGCUAGAUGUGCAUAGCACAGGCGUUUUCAAUCUCCUACUCUGUGCCAGGCAAGAAAUGGACGUGGAAGGGGUGCAGUGGCUAAAUGGUAAAUCUGGCAGGUGUUGAGAGCAUAGCUCCUGCAGAACUAUUAAUGCUACAGACAUCCUUCUACAUUUGUGGGUUUGACAGAUUUGAUUGUUUGUGAAUUUGAUUAAUAUGUUUUUUUCUAAGAAUCUCUAGGUCCUCGAGGGCAAUUUUCCACAGGAAUCCAAGAAUAGAGUCAUCCUGGAGAACCUACAGAUUCUUAGAGAGGUGUUCUCUUACGUAAAAAAUAUACCCAGAGAAGUGUUCUCUUAUGUAAAACACAAUUUUUAAAUUAAAGUUUUUUCAGUUUUCAUAGGGUUCUGUGCCCCUAACCCUUAUACAUGUGGAGGCCCUACUAUAUACUGUGCCAUACAGAAUAUCAUCUUUGCUGUUUUCCGUUUAAAAAAAAGCAUAUGUGGACAAUUUUUCAGUAUUCCCAUUAACAUAGUCUUUUUAAUGACUAGCAGUCAGAGCAGUUUAUGAGGUGGUAUGGUAAAGGGCAUAUUUGGCAGUGUCUAGGUUUCUCCUUUCUCUUUCCCUCCCCUUUGGCCCAGCCUCAUCCUUGCACUUUCUAAGUACCAAAUAGCAAUGAAGUGGUCAUAUCUGAUAGACCAGCGGAUUGUCUCAUAAUUGCUGGGCAAUUCGUUUGUUUCCAGGAUGUGAAAAUGCAAUGCCUGUGUUUGAUAGGCAAAAUGUAAAUCUGCAUUUGAGAAGUCAUCAAAUUGGUUUUUCAUUUGCAUAUAAAUGCCUCCUUUAAUUCAGUGUAUCUGUCAGAAGCAUUGAUUUGGUUUAGAAAUUAACUGUGGAGCUAGCAGGCUCACGUUCCAAUUAUUUAAUGUAAAUCUAUUACUCUUUCAUAGAAAUGUAGUAUUUAUAUUCUUUUAAAAAUAAAUAUUAUUUAAUGUAAAGAACUCAUUCAUUUUAUCUACCCUUCUCAGAGGUGCACCUUUAACCCACUUGACAGAUGGAAGUUAAGAGCAAUUCAUGUGAUGAUAACUUGUUGUUGUAUUGUUCCUUUCUCUCCAAAGUGUCCCUACAUGAUUUAAUUUUGCAAACAUGAGAAGUCCUAUUUAAACCCUUUCUUUUUCCUCUCUCCAUUACCACAUGUUCUUCAUACACAUUUCAAUUAGCUUUUGAGGUUUCAACAUUUGUGAUUCUUUGGUUUCAAUUAUUUUCUUUCCUAGAGACCUCACCUCAUGCUUUGCUCAUAGUUAGAGUAAUUCCCACAACCCACAUAACCAAUUCCAUUUUUUCAAACUAUAGGGAAUAUACCUAAAGACAACCAUGACAUGUCCUGUCCUCUUCUGUAUAAACGUUGGGUGGGCAUCUAAUAAGAUGCUAGUCUAAAACUUAGCAUCUCAUUAGAGAAGAUAUUGACAGCAACAUUGUUAUUUUCCCCCUUAUUCAUCCUUUUUCUUAUAAUGGAAUCACUUCGGUUUAUUUUCAAAUGUGACCAUAAGAGCAGUCUGUAGAAAUGUGUAUCGGAAUCCCUAAAAGCAGCUUUGGCUGUUGCCAGCUAUUAGAUUUUUAUUUUAGAUUUUAAAGAAAUCAGACAUACUAUGAAUACAAAAAACAACAAAAUCCUAACUCCACAAAAGAGUGAUAUGUUUAUUGGCUAAUCAAAGUGCAGAAAACAUUUCCCCUGUUUCGUAUCUUGCAUUAUUCAUUUUCUGCAUUUUGGUUGGCCAAUAGGGUUUCAUUUUUUUGUGGAUUUUGUUGUAUUUUGCUGAAUGGCUGCUAUGAAUAUGUUUCCCUUGAAUCCAAAGGCAGACUUUCUCUGUUAGAUCUUAAAAUGACUUUUUUCACAUUUGGAAGGAGAGGCAAUCAGUCCAGCCUUGUUGGGUUAGCCUUAAAGGUAGGAGAGAAAUCCUGUGGGUCGCAGGCAGCCCCUGAACAUUAUUAUUAAAACCACUACUAUCACAAUAUUUUUGACAAAAAGUGUGUUUUUUUAAAGACCAGAAUGACCCCAGACACUUCAGAAUUCCCCAUGUGCCUCCUGGGUAUGUACAUGCUGUUUUAUAAAAAGGAGAGGCAUUUUUGCAAACAGGAGGUAAACUGGGAAUGACAGUUUAUUUCCUGGUUCAAGAAAAGUCUGCCUUGUUUCUAAAUAAUCUAGCAACCCUCAUGUGGUGACAUUGCCCCCAUACUUUCUAAGGGGUUCAGUAGGUACAGUCUGAAGGAAUAUUUGGUAUCUGUAGCAGCAUAGCCAGUGCAAUAUAUGAGCUUAUGGUAGAAAACAAGAAAGAAAAUACACAGGAUGUAGUUAUUACAUCUCAGAUAAAAAAGUAAAUAGACAAAAAGAAAGUUUGGUAGACGAGCCCCUAAUGCUGACUCCCAUGUCAUCUUGAAGCAGAGAAGCCUCAUGCUGUUCCCUUCUCAGAGGAGAUAAAGCACUAAAAACUUCUGGGAAGAAGUCAGGAAGCUAAACACCCAGAGUUCCAUCGAUCUAGGAAAAAGAGGUGAAAACAAGAUAGCAGGCCUGCACCACAGGGUUGCUUCUGUGCCUAAUUACUCUAUAUACAAGUGUCAAUGCUUAUUAGCUCCCAACACAGUCUUGUUUUUUGUAAAAUGAAAGAAAGAUAUAAGUGGUGAAAAGGUAGUUAAGUAAUUGUUUCCAAGGUCUAGUGAAUAAUGUGUAAAGCUCCAGACCUUGUGUAGUCCCCCCCCCUUCUUUCCUAAAGUGCCAGUGCAAAAUUAAGAUAAACACUUACUGAUAAAAUACUAUUUGGUGAGGGAGAGUGAAUCCACAAGACAGCCAAAGGAGAAAUGGUAGUAAAAACUCAAGAGGUUAUUGUUAGUGGUUUAUUUAGUUAGUGGUUUAUUUGUCCUUGUGGUUCUUGUUCAUUUUUUAAACAAAGGCUUCAAACAUGUGAAAUCUUUUGCAGAAACGUAACCUGCCAAAGCUGAAGAAUUGUGAAACUCUGCCCAGAAGUUUCAUGGCACUUCUAAAUUACUGGGAGGAAAUGCAAUCAGUCAUGGGUGGAGCCAAUGUGAAGCUUUAAAGAUGUCUGUUAGUGCAGAAAUAGCAGUGGCAAUGAAUAUACUUUCAGAAAUUCAUGCAGGCUUGCAAAGAGGCUAGCAUACUUUCUAGCCAAUGGAUGGUCCCACUUUAUACGUGAAGCCCAGCCAAGAUGUUUUCAGUGGGCUCUCCUAUCCUGUUACAUCUAUCAUCCUCUCCUUUGCCUGUCUCUCUCUCUCUCAACUGCAUGUCAUAGAUUUUCCAGAGAGGUAGAGAUGAUAAGCUAUGGUGAAGUUACUGCUCCUUCUCUCACUAUUAUUAUUUAUUUAUUACAUCACUUCUACCCCGCCCUUCUCACCCAUCAGGGGACUCAGGGCGGCUUACAAUAUAAACAUACACAUCAAAAAACAGUUUUCAUCAAAUUUAAAAAUCCAUCAAGAUUAGAAAUUACAAUAAAAUUAAGAAUAUACAUUAAAAUAUACAUAAUUAUACAUUUAAAUAUACAUUUAAGGCGCUUUCCAGAUACUAUAAUACUCGAAGAAAUCAGAAGGGGCUGGCUGAAGUUCAUGCAAGCUCUUUUAACCAUUCUUUCAGUUUUAUAUCCCAAAGAGGUGAGGUAAGCCUGGUAAGUCCCUGACAUCCCCUCUUCCCUUUCUGGCAUUCCCAGAGCAGCAAAACCAGAACUGCUUCUCCAGUUCUUUAUAUACUGCCUCGAACUUUGCGGCUGGGUUCAGUUGCUUCCUGCCAUGGUGGAGUCUGUAUGAACGUGGUUCAUGGAUAUUGCGCUUCAGGGAUUGUGAGUGAUCAGUCUUUGACUAUGGCAGGUUAGUGGGAGGAGAGUUCAUAAAUUACAGAUUUUUUAAAAAAAAAUAGAGGUGAAAUUGAGCUUCCACAGACUCCUCAUGUGGGUAGGGGGGAAACGUGGAAAGAACAAGGACAGCCCCUGGGCUUUAUUGAAGCCUAUCCAUGAAGUAGUACACUAUCUGCCUCAGGGCUGGGAGUGCAUCAGAGCUUUUGUUGUUAGUUCUCAUCUGGGGAAAGCAAUAUUGGGGUUGCUGUGGUAAUCAAGGAUGGGCUGCUUUUGAACACUGCAGAGGGAAGGAGAGUAAAUUUUAAAGCAUCAAAGGCCCCCUUUAUCCUAAAACUGAUGGUCUGAGGCCCACGUUGCUGCAACAUUUUUGGAACUUCUGUGUCAACAGCAACCAACUAGUUUUUCCCUCGGCAUGCAAACUAAAUCCUCCUGCAGCGCUAGAAUGUUUGACGUUGACUUGUGUAUAGUACAGUAAGCUUAAAAUUUAGAUUUUCUUAGACAAAAUGUCAGAACUUUCCCAUUAGGAAACAUUUAAUUCUAGGCCUGGAUGUUUGUCUAGUGGCUCUUCUUUAGAAAUGGAGCUGGACUGGGCCUUUGUGAUUCUUGACGCAUAUGCCUACUAGAAAUUAUUUUCUAUUUUUUCUUAAGUUUUCUGGAAACAGAAACUGGAACAGUCUUGCAGAGAAGUGCAGGUAUGUUGUAAAGAGAGCAGCCAUUGAAGUGGUAGAAAGCAAAAGCAAGCAGGAGGAAGCGUUGAGGUGCGGUGGCCAUCUGGUUGGCUGUAUAGGCAUCGUUGGUUGCUUAUUAGUCUUCUCCAUCCUGGACAGGAACACAUGAAAGUCGAAUUUAGGCCAGUGGUAGGGAUCAUGUGGUCUUCCACAUGCUGUUUAGCUGCUACUCCCCACAUUCCUCACCAUUCGUUAUACUGGUUGGGAAUUGCUGAGAAUUGCUGCAUGAUUUCCCACCAUGGUAUGAAGGUCCCUUAGUGGAAGAAAAGAGGGAUACAGAUAAAGACUUGUUAUAAUACAUUUCUUGGGCAUCUCAUGCAUGAAGUUGGCUGAUGCAGUUCAUGAAUCUGGGGUUCAUAAUGUGUAAUUAACAGACCACUGGCAUGUUAAUAAAGCUGAUUCAGGCUCUAAUCAUGGCUGUAUAUAUGUAAUAUAUCAUAUCUCUCUUGUUAUUAUUUGCUUGUUUUCUGUCAAGUUACUUUCGGCUUAUGGUGACUCCGUGAAUUGGAGAUUUUCUUAUGACCUGAGUUUGCAAGAUAGGUCUUGUACAUUCAGGGCAGCUCUGGUUCUCUUGACUCAGUCCAUCCUCUUGUAAUGUGGGAUUCCUCUUUUACUACUGUGUUCCACUCUACUGAACAUUAGCACCUUUUCCAAUGAGUCAUAUCAUCUCAUGAUGUGUCUAAAGCACGGUAUUUGAGUCAUUUUGGCUUCUGGUGAGCGUUUCUGCUCCAUUUGAUCUCAGACCCAUUCAUUUGUCUUUUUGGCUGCCCAUGAUAUUCAUAGAAUUCUCCUCCAGCACCAUAUUUCAAAUGAAUUGAUUCUCUUCCUGUCAGUUCUUUUCACUAUCCAGCUUCACAGUCAUAUAUAGAAAUCAGAAACACGAUGGCAUGGAUGAUCCUGACAUUGGUAUUCAAUGAUAUGUUUUUACAUUUGAGGAUCCUAUUUAGUUUCUUCAUGGCUGCCUUUUUGAGUCUUAGUCUUCUCCUGAUUUCUUGACUGCAGUUUCCAUUUUGAUAAUGUCUGGGCCAAAGUAUAGAAACUUUUAACUUUUUUGAUAUCAUCCUUGCUCAUUUCAGUGUUUUUUUUUGUUGUCUUAAUACUUAGCUGUAACCCUGCUUUUGCACUUUCUUUUUGAUUUCCAUCUGUAAUGGUUCCAGGUUUUUGCUGCUGUUGCUAGUAAUAUGAUGUCAUUCUAAAUUGUUAAUGUUCCUUUCUCCCAGUGUCCACAUCUCCCUUCUCUGAGUCUAAUCCUGCUUUCCAUAGUAUGUUCUGCAUAUAAAUGUCCAUGGCUGAGAAAAAUCUUUCCUUUCAUGCAAACCGCCAUUGCUUUGCCCCUGAGGGAUUGAAGAGCAGGCAGCAUUUGACCUAAUAAUUCCUCCUUCUACCUCCAUCUCAUUUUCCUUGUAUUUUGGAAGUGUCAAAGCAAUAAUUUGUAAAUUGCUCUGGAAGCCUUUUAUACAGAACAAACAAAGUAAUAUGAUAACACCAUUGUUGAAUUUCCUUUCCAAUUGAAAAUGCUUUUCUGUUUCAUUAUAUUGAUCCCAGCAGAAGCCUCUAGUCUACAGUAAAGGUUAUAUACCUGGACAAUCAAAAUGGUUAAUGUGACCCCUAGUUUGUCACAAACUAUUUUGACAGAAUCUUUGUUGUAAUCUAUAAAACACAGGCUGAUUUUCUUUCUAAAUCCUUUGGUAAGAUCCAUUAGUCAAAGUAUGUUUGCAAUAUUGUCUUUAGUGCCUCUUUCCUUUCUGAAUCCAUAUUGGUAUUCUUGUGCCAUAUAUUGUACAACUCUUAGUGCAAUGGUAUGGUGAUUACUGCAAUUCCCAGUGUCCCCAUUGUUGGGGGUUAGAAUGUUUAUUAAGCUUUUCAAAUCUAUGGGUUAUUGAUGGUUUUGUGUGCUCCAUUUGUAGGACUUUGUUAGAAUUUGGACUGAGUUCAUUAUCUGUAUCUUGAAACAGCAACAUUGGAGUGCCAUCUAUUUUUGGGUGAUUGUUUCUCCAAGUGUUUUGAGUCCAUCUUAUUUUCACUUUCUAAAAUGUUCAAUUUUUUGGUACAAGGUACUACUUCAAGACAUCCUACUUUCAUGUGUUUUGUAUAGUUAUUCAGUGUAUUGUCUUCAUUUUUAAAAAUUUUAUUGUGCCUAUAUCGUAUGUUCCCAUGUUGGUUGUAUAACAUCCUGCUCUUGGUUUAAAAUUCCCUUUGAAUUCUUAAAUCUUGUGAAAUAAAGAGGUUAUAUCUUUUUACAUUUCUUCUAUUUAUUGUCCUGUAUUAAGAUCCUCUUUCCCACUUGCCUACUCAGGUUUGUGCUUUGAAGCUGUACUUCAAUUGAGGCAAGCAUUUUACAUACCUUCUCACACCUGCCGUUCAGUAUAUUAUUUCUUAACCUAUCACCCUGAAAAGUGUGAGUGAAUCAUAUUUCCAAAUGUUUGCCUGUUUGUUAAUAAGCCCCAAGCAUUUUGCCUGCACAAUUCUGGAGAUGGGGAAACCUGUGAUUUGCAGCUCCUUCCUUGCCUUCACUGCUUGCUUUUCAGUAAGUAUUGUAUUGUCCAGCUUCACCUGGAAUGAAGGGACCAGGAUUUUUUAUUUUCCUCAUUCUGUUUCAUCAGCAUGUCUCCUGUAUAUACCAUAAUCCAAUGUGAGAACAGGGGAGUACUAUGUCAUUGGUACAAAUUUUACUAAUUUUAAGAAGAGGGUUUGGAUCUGGAGAACUUGGCUCUUGGUGAUCAACUUGAAUGUGAUGAUGAUGUGUACUAUGGAUUGUAAUUGGGGAAUGAUGGAUGAGACCCUAUGAAUCCCAGCUCCUCUUUUCAUUUGAUGCUAAUUCCUUUGAAGCCUUUUAAAACUGUUUGGGUUUUUUUUUAAAAAAAUUAUAGUACAACCUUCUUAUUUGCAGACUUGAUAACCAAAAUUUAUUCCACCCAGAAAUGUUUGUGGGUCUCCUUUGGUCCUCUAGUUCUAUUAUAUAGUAUGCUUGCAGUCCAGGUAUAAUUAAAACAUUGUAUAGGAUUUACUACAAUUCAUGAUUUCAGGUACUGACAGAGAUCUUGGAAAGUAUCCCCUGUUCUGUAUAUUUUAGUGCAUAGUAGUGUGCCUGCAAGUUUGCUUAUUUCUUUUAAAGGUCCACUGUACAUUAAAGUGAGUAAAAUAACUGUAAGCAUAUUAUUAAAUUACAAACUGUCUUACUAAAGUGUAGGAGGAAUAAAAACAGUUAAUAUUGUGUCUUAAUGGGGAAGAUUUCUUGUUGAGAAAACUAAAGUCUCCAUAUUAUUUUAUUGAGUUAUCAACCUGGAUUUAUUUCCUCCAUGUCACUCUUUGGCUUUAUGUUAAACCUACAUUUGGAGGAUUAUUUUGCACCCGCAAUAAUAGCAGAGCAGUUCUGGUUUUGAUAUUUCAUUCUGCUUUAAAAUAUCAGGAUUCACUGGACCUCCAAACUCUGUUGAUAAUAAUAGCUCUUGAUAUUUGACGGUUAGUGUGCCUGAAGCUGCUUCUUCACAUUGCAGUGACAAUUUUCUUUUGGCAAGAGAUGGCAGCAUCCAUUUUUAAUUGCAUGCAUUGUCUGUGGAUUUAUAAACGCUGAAAAACAAGUGUUUCCAUGAAGAGGCUCCUUAGGGGAAUAUCCCUUUUCCCUGUUAUGAAAUGGAGCUCUCUCCGAGGGUGAGUUUACAUAAUAUCUGAUCAGUAAUGUUGGAGGCCUUUUGUAAAUACAGUAAGAUGCUUACUAAGCAAGUUGCCUUUCCUCCAAAUGCCGGCAGGCCUUGGAAUGCUUUGCAGUGCCUGCGAGAGCAAGAAAAAGGAGUGUGGGGGCGGAGGACAGGCCUUUUCACUUGGCUCUGGGCAAGGAAAGCGGCUUGAGCGCAUGGAGCACUUUCAGGAUGCAGAUUGCAGGCUUGUCUGACAGUCUGGUUGGGGCUGAAAGGCAACUUCAUGCAAGUUGCAUCACACUUCUAGCUUCUGCACAUUCCUUUUGCUGCUGGUCGCGUGAUCUGGCCUUUCCAGAGCGGCCUGGCAUACCUUGCAGGCAAUAACCCUUAUAGGUGGAAACGGUGUCACAAAAUAAAACACCUACAUAUACUUCUCCAUGAUUCUCAGGUCUCCCAUUUCGGAGCAGAGUUCAACUGCAGACCUUAUAGUCAUAAUUUGGAAUCUCCAACUUUCCUCCCACUAUCACUCCUGAUAUUAUUAUAAUUUUUAUUAAAAGGAAAGGAAAAUGCUACGGCAGUAAUAGUACAAAGAAGCAAGACGCUAUACGAUAUGUUUCUAAAACUAUGCAGCUAGAUUGUAGCUGCUACAACAAACUCCAAAACUAGAUCAAAACACACCUGCAAAAUCAUAUACACACAAUCAACACUAAUAAACAAACAAGGAAACAAUUCUAUGAACUUCACAUUCACUAUCUGGUGGUUUUGUACCUUUUAAUUCUGUUCCUUUUAGAUGAGAAUAUAUAACCACAGUUCUUCUUUUGUAAACAUUCAUAAAUCCUACAGUUGUCAUAAAGAAAUCCCAGUUUUUUUAAUUGAUCAAAGAUUUCUCCUUAAUCAGCAUAAUUAGUUUAUCCAUCUCUCCUAAUUCUCAGAGCUUCAUCAGCCAACUCUUGCUGCAGUUACCAUAUAUCAUGAUAUGAAUACUCUUCCAAAUAUUAUUUCUAGAUGAUUGUCCAGCAUUUCCAACAGAUAAAUCUUUGACUUCAUUGUGAAUUUCAUCUCAGAUUUUAUGAAACACCAAACCUGAUGAAGACUUCUAGAGAACGAGAAGUUCUGCACCUCUUGUGGAUUUCUUCAUUGUUUUUGUGUUUCUUCAGGUCAUCUCCAACCCAUGACAACCCUGUUACAUAGAAGAUUUCCUUGGCCAGUUUUGUUUGAUGGAGGUUUGCCAUUACUUUCUUCUUUAGCUAAGAGAAUGUGACUUGUCCAUUGGGUCACCCAUUGGUUUUCUUGGGAAUUUCAAUAUUCUAAUAAGAUCAUUGCACAGCUGUGGGUUUUGGAUAUCACCUUGUUCUUAUGGGCCAACACAACUACUUUUCUUUCAAAAUAGGACAGUAUCUUUACGCCUGUUUGGAUAAGCAAAGCCAUCCAGUUUCCUUGUUGGGGAACUCGAAGUCUUAAUUGAUUUCCUCAGCCUGCUUCAGAACCACAUGCAGUUAACUGCAGGAAUGUGUUCAGAGCUGCCUUUUGCUGGUUUUUAAAGUUAGCUUUCCCAACUUCGCUUUGCUCAAGAGGCACCGAAGGGGGGAGAUCCGAAGGAAGUGAUUAAAAACCUAGCCUUCCCAGCGUAUCCUUGUCACCGUGACAGAUAAUGACAGGUUUUUAAGCAGGUUCUGAGAGGCAGCAGUGAUUAGUUUUUCUGCUGUUUUCUUUGUUUUCCUUCUGUCUCUCCUUCACCCUGCUUUUCACUCUCCUGGCAACGCUGCCUACUUCUGCUGACUCACACCAGGCCUUUCUUCGGCACAAUUUGCUGCUGUAGGAUGACAGCCUUUCAAAUAUAAAUUUCAGUUUUCCCAUAAAACUUAUUUUUCAAACAUUCCUAAUGUUUUGGUCUCUCUGACUAACUUCUUUCCUUUUUUUGAACGGAGCUGAAGCCUGCAUAAAUGUAAUUUAUUGCUGGAAAUUAAAUGAAGGCUAACUGCAGCCAUCGGCCUUCAAAAAUUAAAAUCCUUGAUUGCUGACUCAGUGCCAGUGGAAUUCAUUUGAUGUUGCCCCCUCCAUCGAGAGGAGAGUUCAUUUGGCAACUCUCUGCUGAAGAUAGAGGCACAUGCAUAUGACGUUCUAAGAUUCCUUUAUCCGGUUUAUGUGAUUUACUGAAGUGUCCGGUUUUUCGUUUCCCCAUGAAUUACCUUCCACUUCUGGAAAGGUAGAGGCAGGGCUUCAUCACUUUUCCAGCUGGCCGGUAGGACAUGCGAGGACUUUGGGGCGUCAUGGUUGCUGUGACUUUUUGCGUGGAGUUGGGAACGUUUUCAGUCGACAAUGAAGCUCUGUUGUCUGUGAUUUCCCAGGUGUGAACUGACU
Anolis carolinensis (green anole) is the source of this 20547-nucleotide RNA transcript. It is a transcript of the gene named nuclear receptor coactivator 1, with no coding region annotated. The transcript has 4 exons. Lineage: Eukaryota; Metazoa; Chordata; Lepidosauria; Squamata; Anolidae. The record is from RefSeq and is a predicted model, not a curated record.